UUGCUAAAUGGUAAAUAUUCAUUAGUUAAAAUGAAACUAAAAAGUUGCAUAAGCCCCAAAAAAAAGUGUAAAAAGACUUAUGGAGCAGACCGGUAGAAUUAAAAUCUGAAACAAAUUUUAAAAACUACAAUUUCUGAUCAACUUCCGCCAAGGCGGGUAGGAAAACGACGACGUCAUUUAGCACGAACCCUAGUCUCCCGACGACGCUUCCAGGUACGAACCCUAGACUCCCGACGACGCUUUGAAUACAAACCGAAAGACCGGAAAGACUCGCCACACGAACCCAGCAGAGACUGAUGACACCCAUCCUUAGCACGAACCCAGCAGAAACCGACGACGCUUCACGACACGAACCCAGCGAAUUCCUAAGACAAUACUACCAAAGAUCUGAAAAGCGAGCAGGUAACCGAACCCGUCACUACCAAGAGCAAAAGGGAAAGCGGGUUGAAUAGCGGCAGCUACUCCACGAAAUGUAGCACUUUGACACACCGGGACCGAGCAGUCCGCAACCACCAGAGACUCACUCUAGUGCUGGGAUGUUGGAAACUACUCCUCAGGCCACCGAGACCAGACCAAACCGAAUGACACACCAGUAUAGAACAGGUCUCCUCAGGAACCGUCACUGAGAACCAGUGACAAGCUCGAUCGAGACAGGAGAUUAGCUUGCACGAGCAAAGCUAUAACUCCAUAAGACGUGACUAAAGCGCAGCUCAGAAACGGUGAGCCUCCACGAAAGAAUCAACCGUGAGAGUGUGACGGGAGAGCCAUGACCGGAGAAGAUCAAGGCGGAAGCAUCUCUGUCACGGCAGGAUAACAUAGCCAUAGACGAAUCAUCACCGACACCGUGCAUUGAACAACACACGCCGUCGUCAAAGCGGAAGAGCCGACAUACGACGAAUCCUACACUUUGGACGCGCCUUUGUGGAUUAACCACUCAGAAACCACCUGAACGGUAGCCACACUAGCCUCCUCCGACGAGACGCCAAGCGAAGGAAUGCAUCACGCGCCACUGCUCCACUCCGUCCGAACUCCGAUGAAAUAAACACGACGAUGAAGAACAGAUCCGGUACGGAGG
This 1075-nucleotide long non-coding RNA is filed under the name Brassica napus (rape). RNAcentral's name for it is "long non-coding RNA (BNAP_LNC025268)". The record is from RNAcentral. Lineage: Eukaryota; Viridiplantae; Streptophyta; Magnoliopsida; Brassicales; Brassicaceae.